AGACUGUCUCCACAUCCCAACAACGUGCCUGAGAGGACAGCAGGCAGAAGCCUACAGAGUUUGGCAGGUCCCUGUGUCACUCAGCACCACCUAUGAGGAGCAACGCCAGACACUUGCUGAUGGGAGCAAGAGGAAAUCUAUUUCGCUGAGGCUGUUAAGGUCCUUGUUGUAGGUGCUUGGGAGUCCUUUGAGAACCAUGAGAAUUGAAGCCAGCUGCAGAGAGAAACAGACAAGACAGUUGGCUACCAGAAGAGGAACACACUGCCCCAGUGGAAGGUCAGAGCCCACAUUGGGCACAAUUCUUUUUUACAUGGAGGCAUGAAGGAAGAUUCUUCAGCCCCAACAUGAGCAGUUUCCCUAUCCCUCUUCUUUCUUAAACACACUCACCCGUCCAAAGACACGUCCAGCCUUGCUGCGG
This is a long non-coding RNA of Oxyura jamaicensis (ruddy duck), 418 nucleotides long. RefSeq lists it as uncharacterized. NCBI's taxonomy places the organism in Eukaryota, Metazoa, Chordata, Aves, Anseriformes, Anatidae. The transcript has 3 exons. The record is from RefSeq and is a predicted model, not a curated record.